GGUUCCGUGGUGUAGUGGUUAUCACGUCUGCUUUACACGCAGGAUGUCCCCGGCUCGAUACCGGGCGGAACCA
RNAcentral lists this transfer RNA (73 nucleotides) under Dryococelus australis. Its description in RNAcentral is "tRNA-OTHER". It matches the Rfam family "tRNA". Rfam says of the family: Transfer RNA (tRNA) molecules are approximately 80 nucleotides in length. Their secondary structure includes four short double-helical elements and three loops (D, anti-codon, and T loops). Further hydrogen bonds mediate the characteristic L-shaped molecular structure. tRNAs have two regions of fundamental functional importance: the anti-codon, which is responsible for specific mRNA codon recognition, and the 3' end, to which the tRNAs corresponding amino acid is attached (by aminoacyl-tRNA synthetases). tRNAs cope with the degeneracy of the genetic code in two manners: having more than one tRNA (with a specific anti-codon) for a particular amino acid; and 'wobble' base-pairing, i.e. permitting non-standard base-pairing at the 3rd anti-codon position. Lineage: Eukaryota; Metazoa; Arthropoda; Insecta; Phasmatodea; Phasmatidae. The record is from RNAcentral.